GAUGAGACAAGAUUAGAUGAGAUGAGAUAACAGACUUCUUUCUCCACCGCUGUCCUCUGCUGCCCGCCUUCGCUCUGCCUGUACAGUUCCACUCCCAUUCCCCCAUCGCCACUACGCUUUGAAGAACAACACAGGACGUCUCCUCUCAGAGUGUUUCAAAUUCCUUGUUUCACAGCAGGCUGCGUCCUCUGCCCUCAACAACGGGGCUUUGUUUGUUUUCCACGAAACCCUCCCGUGACAAGUUCAGGUACAAGUUUCAUUUAUCAACUGAAGCUGGAAACAGGAAUGUCUAUAGAUCAUUCUUUCCUCUGUAUGAUUAAAGUACAACAACAUCCAUUUGUGGUAAAUCAAAUUCCUUCAGUUUGAGGUCGUGGAGUUGCCACUCUGGUGUCUGUACUGAUUCUCUGCCUCUUUCUUCACAGACAGGUUUAUUCAUGGAUCUACUAAUUUGUCCUGAAGGAAUGUCCCAAUGUGCUGCCAGUCAGAAACUGGUGAGGACGAGUCAUGAUGAAAAUGUUCGCAUGAAAGACUCACGGAAGAGAGGAGCGGCAGCAAGAAGCUAAAAUAUACCAGAAUAAGCCCCUGAAUAUGGCAGCAUUUCCCAAUUGGUCGCAGAAAUUGAGAAAUGACCCAUUUAUAUGUGUAUACAGGUCAUACAUGUACCACUGUAGCUGGUAUCCGGUUGUGAUGCUAACAGGCUGCGUCUUGCAUCACAGACUGAAGGUUUUGUGGGCUUGAAUUGCUAUUUACUUUCUAUUGAAAGGGGCGAUGAGAUGUUCACGUGCAAUGUUCUGAGACAGCGAACUGGGCUUUCCUUAGGGACGCUAAUUACAAGCUAGCAUGUGGCUGCGUCACUGUAUCUUUGUGAGGAGGGCCACCCACAAAAUAUCACCCAUCAUCAUCCAUGCUGAUUACAGUGCUGCGCGUUAUGGCCACUACACACGAGAAAAUAAAAGCCAGCCUGGCAGUGAGAGCGUGUC
This 980-nucleotide long non-coding RNA is filed under the name Takifugu rubripes (torafugu). RNAcentral describes it as "lncRNA (ENSTRUG00000033107.1)". The record is from RNAcentral. Lineage: Eukaryota; Metazoa; Chordata; Actinopteri; Tetraodontiformes; Tetraodontidae.